Molecule: ribosomal RNA, 490 nt
Filed under: uncultured bacterium
Lineage: Bacteria
Description: partial 16S ribosomal RNA
Rfam family: Bacterial small subunit ribosomal RNA
Source: RNAcentral
AUUGAACGCUGGCGUCAGGCCUAACACAUGCAAGUCGAACGGUAACAGGAAGAAGCUUGCUUCUUUGCUGACGAGUGGCGGACGGGUGAGUAAUGUCUGGGAAACUGCCUGAUGGAGGGGGAUAACUACUGGAAACGGUAGCUAAUACCGCAUAACGUCGCAAGACCAAAGAGGGGGACCUUCGGGCCUCUUGCCAUCGGAUGUGCCCAGAUGGGAUUAGCUAGUAGGUGGGGUAACGGCUCACCUAGGCGACGAUCCCUAGCUGGUCUGAGAGGAUGACCAGCCACACUGGAACUGAGACACGGUCCAGACUCCUACGGGAGGCAGCAGUGGGGAAUAUUGCACAAUGGGCGCAAGCCUGAUGCAGCCAUGCCGCGUGUAUGAAGAAGGCCUUCGGGUUGUAAAGUACUUUCAGCGGGGAGGAAGGGAGUAAAGUUAAUACCUUGGCUCAUUGACGUUACCCGCAGAAGAAGCACCGGCUAACUCCGUG